GGCUCCUUGCUGACAUGGCCCAAGCAGCGGCAAAGUGGCGGCUCCAACUGUCCAUCCUCCUGUCCUGGGUGCUCUCCAUUUUUCGUUCCUAGUUUAGGUUACUGCUUUUUUUAUUUUUUUUGCGGGGAAGGUUACUGCUACCCUGAAAGUAUGUGAAUAUAGGACUGCUAACCCUCAGAAACUAGAUUAUCAGUACUUGCUAGUUUAGCCUGUGAAUAUGGGAUUAUGUAUGAUCUUAGAUGACCCCAUGAACUUUGGCCCGGAAUUUAAGGAUUGCCAAGUUUUUUGUUGGUGUUGCAUGGGUACGCCUAGGGAUGUAAGUGGACGUGUCCGUCAAGUGUACGAACUCCCGCAUUCAUGGUUUUUGUAUUAGCUCGGUUUUUAAAAGCAACAUUGAUUAGUUUAUUUUUGCCUUCUUGGAUGG
This 424-nucleotide long non-coding RNA is filed under the name Triticum aestivum (bread wheat). RNAcentral describes it as "long non-coding RNA (TAES_LNC004818)". The record is from RNAcentral. Lineage: Eukaryota; Viridiplantae; Streptophyta; Magnoliopsida; Poales; Poaceae.